Molecule: ribosomal RNA, 518 nt
Filed under: uncultured Glomus
Lineage: Eukaryota; Fungi; Glomeromycota; Glomeromycetes; Glomerales; Glomeraceae
Description: SSU rRNA
Rfam family: Eukaryotic small subunit ribosomal RNA
Source: RNAcentral
AGCAGCCGCGGUAAUUCCAGCUCCAAUAGCGUAUAUUAAAGUUGCUGCNGUUAAAAAAGCUCGUAGUUGAAUUUUCGGGACCAUCAUGUCGGUCGUGCCUCGGUACGUACUGGCAUCGUUGGUUUCUCCCUUCUGACGAACCAUGAUGUCAUUUAUUUGGUGUUGUGGGGAAUCAGGACUGUUACUUUGAAAAAUUAGAGUGUUUAAAGCAGGCUCACGCUUGAAUACAUUAGCAUGGAGUAAUGAAAUAGGACGUUUGAUUCUAUUUUGUUGGUUUCUAGGAUCGACGUAAUGAUUAAUAGGGAUAGUUGGGGGCAUUAGUAUUCAAUUGUCAGAGGUGAAAUUCUUGGAUUUAUUGAAGACUAACUACUGCGAAAGCAUUUGCCAAGGAUGUUUUCAUUAAUCAAGAACGAAAGUUAGGGGAUCGAAGACGAUCAGAUACCGUCGUAGUCUUAACCAUAAACUAUGCCGACUAGGGAUCGGAUGGUGUUAAUUUUUAAUGACUCAUUCGGCGUCCG